GCAGCUAUGGUGAUUCCUGCGAAGAUAACGAAAAUGAGAUCUUUCAACUUACUGUCUCGCCGUUCCUGAAGCUGAAAUGCGGGCUUCAGAGUCCUGGAAACGGUUCUCGGAGGGGCUGGGUUUGAAGCCAGCUGUUGGGGAUCUUCAUAAACAUCAUAAACUCCGAGAAGCGGAGGCAGCACUGUGUAUACCAGGCGCAACGGAGAGCCCAGCUCGGGGCUCCUCGGUCCCCUGGCUGCUCUUUGGAAGUUUCUGUAACUUCCAAGAUAAAGCGUAUCCUAGAUCAAUGCGCGCGCUGGUCAAGUUUAUCACAGCAGACUGACCCUGGAAGUCACAGGGAAGCCAACCGAGUUACCACGUGGCAGCUUUAAGUCACCAGGCACUUGGGGCUCUUCACCCGCCUCCGUUUCUCCCAGACCGCCUGUGCCCCAUCUCCUUGCCCUCCCAGCCUCUUCCCCCAGAGGCGGAACGGGGUCUCCAGCUGGUGGGAUAACAUCCCAGUAACUACACCUAGCAUAUCAGUUCCAAGCAUCCCCUCUAUGAAAAUCAUUUUAGGUUCUAGAAGCAUUUGGUGCAUUAAUCCACCACUCUCGUUAUGAGCAGAAAACUCAGAAAAACAAUUCUCUCUCUCCGUCUCCAGAUACAAGUCCCUGCUGUUGAAGAUCUGUGUUACACUCUAGGCCACGUGUCCUUUGGGCCCCCACUGCUGCCGUGUUUAUUGCACUGCAAUGUAAUCACCUACCUACGUGCCAGCAAAACUCUUGGACUGUAGAAGACAGCUCCAUGCUUCACUCAUGGAGACGGAGUAUGGCACAUCCAAAUUGAGGUCCGUCCCAGAAAUUGGUUUUAAAAAUGGCCCAGGUUCCUCCCUUCCCCCCAAAGUCUUAAGCACGCCCAGGCUUCCUUAUGCAUUCAUCACGGAAGUAACAUCUACCAAAUAUCAGACACAGGUGAAGUCUCACCCCAGGGAGACAGGAAAGAGGUGAUGGGCUCCAAGCACCAGCUUGGUCUUAUUGUGCUGGGCCCUAGUGGGGCAAAGAAAUGCUUUUCCUUUCAAUUUUGCCCCUUUGUGGCUCACAAAUGAUUGCACUCGGACAGCAGCUGUUGAGCUCAGCCAGAAAAACCAUCCCAGCCUUGCCAGGGUGAGAGGAUGAAAUCAGGUGGGUCAAGCAACCCUAAACGCCGAAUGCAAAGGUCUCUAGCGCCAUCUACCGACCCACUGGGGACUCUGCUGGCAAAAAGCCAAGAAAGGCUAGGUGGGGUGGGGGAUGGGAAGUUUUAGUCGGUCACGGUCACUCGGGGCUCAAUGGAGAGAAACUUACAGACCCAUCAGUCCACCUCCUCACCUUCCAGAGGGAGAAACUGAGGACCAAAGUGGUGAAGUGACUUGUCUGAGGUCUUCCCUCUAGCCCACGGCCACCCCAGCUCCUAGAUCCAGAUCUCACUAGAUCUUCCCCACCCCCACUCCGCUCCCAUCGGAAAAUACGAACUCUCAGCCAAGCUGGCUUGGAGAAAUGAGGUCCUGUGAGGCACCCCUUUCCCCUCCAUCUUCUGUUCCACCUUCUUCCUUUUGCACCAACAGCCCCAACUAGACCUGAUAUUUUCUUCUCCUAGAACCUCAUGUCUUUUUAAAAAUUAAAGUGUAAUUGAUUUACAAUAUUCUGUCAAUUUCUGUAAAGAGGUAAUGCAAAUACUGAAGGAAUUAACAGCGGAUCGCAACAGUAAUACAGAUGACUUUAGACAGGAACUAAAAACUAUCAGGAGGAGCCAAGAAAAAUUAGAAAAUUCAUUUGCAGAGACGAAAGCUGAGUUAAAGGCACUGAGGACCAGUCAAUAAUGUGGGGGGCAGGGCAGAUCCUGGCUAUGAGAUAAACAACCCAGUAUCACAGGCAAGGAAACUAAGUCCCGGGGAAAUCAAAGCCUUUGCUUGGAGCGGUGGGUCCACCGCCUGACAUUAGGAUCACCUGGGGAUCUUUCACAGCCUCCAAAACCCAGGCCGUUCCCCAGAUCUGCUCAAGCAGAAUCUCUGGGGAGGAGAUACAAGCUCAGCGGUAGUUUUUGAAGCCGGCCCCACCCCCUCCCCAGGUGAUUCCAAUGGACAGACAAGUUGGACAGCUACGGACUUACAUCCAACCGACUAGCAGGUGAGCCAGCAAAGCCCCAGACCUCUCAACCCCCCAGGCCAGCGAGGAAUAAGGAUGCCCACAUUUCAGUGGUUUGCAUCGUGCUUUGAAGCUUUUGGCCACUUCCCUGUUCUAACUGUAUUAUUAAUCACGUACCAAAUGCCUCCAUUUUACCUGCAUCCAUGUACUUUUAAAAGAACGCUCUUACUUUCCGACGUGGAAAGCCUGUAGCGCUUGCCACAGAACAGAAUGCAACCAGAAAAGGAAAUGCACUUAAAUACAAAGAUUAAAAUAAAAACAUGCAGUCACGUAUGAAACAAAGUUAUUUCAUUUUCUACGCUGAGAGCUACUGGUUCUAAGAGCAAAGAAAGUUCCCCUUCUCAGUUCCUGACAAGACUGAAGCAACUGAGACUGAGAUACACCCAAGAGCAGGACUAUGUGGGCUUAGCUGAUGCCUCUACGUGUGUAACUGAUGGCUCUGCAUGUACGUGUGCCAUUUUUUCCGCUCUUUCUCUCUCCAGCUCUACCAGAAAGCUGGGGGGAAAACGCCCCUCAGGAUUCUCUGUGUUGAAAGCCUGGAGCCCAGGGACUGUGGGUUCUCGGCCAAAUUGCAACAGCAUCCUGCCCAGGGUCUUAUCCAACAGCUGGGCCACCCUCGCUCAUUACUAAGAGCAACAGACAUUCUUUCUGCAUGGCUCGAGCCCCUUCUCCCCGGGCCGGCCCACCUGCUGGAGUAGAACCGUCCGCCCUUUGUCCCCCAGCCUGCAGACCAGCUUCACGACCCACAUUUCCUGCAGGUUGAGUGUCAUCACGCGGCUUGCUCAGAGCACAGCUGUUUGGCAAAGGCCAGCAGCAGAUGCGGCGCCCGGGCUCCAACUGCGCUUGGCUGCCGCAUCCUCUCUCCCACUGACCCAUGGGCAGCUGAGAGCGGCUGUCUUCACUGAACAGAAAGAGGGUUAAUUAGCCAUGACUGGGGAUGACACAAUUUGGGUCUGUUUGGAAAACUGGGGGGAAAUGGGUCUUAUUCAACAACUCCCUGGAAGCAAAUUGUUUAUCCGAGUUUCUCCCCAAAGAGAAUCCUCACCUGGUCACCUU
This 3218-nucleotide long non-coding RNA is filed under the name Sus scrofa (pig). RNAcentral describes it as "lncRNA (ENSSSCG00000054606.1)". Lineage: Eukaryota; Metazoa; Chordata; Mammalia; Artiodactyla; Suidae. The record is from RNAcentral.